RNAcentral lists this ribosomal RNA (253 nucleotides) under uncultured bacterium. RNAcentral's name for it is "partial 16S ribosomal RNA". It matches the Rfam family "Bacterial small subunit ribosomal RNA", at positions 524 to 776 of the family's 1533-position model. The record is from RNAcentral.
UACAGAGGGUGCUAGCGUUGUCCGGAAUUACUGGGCGUAAAGGGCGCGUAGGCGGGCCGGCCAGUCAGGGGUGAAAGCCCACGGCUCAACCGUGGAAGUGCCUUUGAUACUGCCGGUCUUGAGGGAGGUAGGGGCGUGCGGAACUUCCGGUGGAGCGGUGAAAUUCGUAGAUAUUAGGAAGAACACCGGUGGCGAAGGCGGCCCACUGGAUCGGUACUGACGCUGAGACGCGAAAGCGUGGGGAGCAAACAGG